Molecule: ribosomal RNA, 253 nt
Filed under: uncultured bacterium
Lineage: Bacteria
Description: partial 16S ribosomal RNA
Rfam family: Bacterial small subunit ribosomal RNA
Source: RNAcentral
UACGUAGGGUGCGAGCGUUAAUCGGAAUUACUGGGCGUAAAGCGUGCGCAGGCGGUUCGUUGUGUCGGCGGUGAAAGCCCCGGGCUCAACCUGGGAAUGGCCGUUGAAACUGGCGAACUGGAGUGUGGCAGAGGGGGGUGGAAUUCCGCGUGUAGCAGUGAAAUGCGUAGAGAUGCGGAGGAACACCGAUGGCGAAGGCAGCGCCCUGGGCUGACACUGACGCUCAGGCACGAAAGCGUGGGGAGCAAACAGG